RNAcentral lists this ribosomal RNA (406 nucleotides) under uncultured bacterium. Its description in RNAcentral is "partial 16S ribosomal RNA". It matches the Rfam family "Bacterial small subunit ribosomal RNA", at positions 28 to 526 of the family's 1533-position model. The record is from RNAcentral.
GAUGAACGAUAGCUACAAGCUUAACACAUGAAAGUCGAGGGCCCGGCGCACGGGUGAGUCACACGUAUCCAACCUGCCCUUUACUCGGGGAUAGACUUUCGAAAGAACGCUUAAUACCCGAUAUAAAGGAUGGGGAUGCGUUACAUUAAGUUGUUGGUGAUGUAAGGUCUCACCACACCUUCGAGGGAUAGGGGUUCUGAGAGGAAGGUACCCGACAUUGGAACUGAGAUACGGUCCAAACUCCUAUGUGAGGCAGUAGGGAGGAAUAUUGGUCAAUGGUCGCUAGCCUGAACCAGCCAAGUAGCGUGAAGGAUGAAGGCUUAGGGGUCGUAAACUUCUUUUAUAUAAGAAUAUGUAUUAUAUGAAGAAGGAUCGGCUAACUCCGUGCCAGCAGCCGCGGUAAUAC